AUGGGUUGUUCAGGGCAAGUCGAGAUGGGCUGGCCUGCCUCUUUUUUUCUUUUUAGUACCAUAUAUUAUUUUAGUACUAUAUUUUUUUUAUUUAUAUUGCUAUUUUAUAGGUUUUUUGCUAUAUAUCAAUAUUAAAACUAUUCAAAUACCUUCCCAAUCAUAUUUUUAUACUUCAUAAUUUACCAGUACUUCAUUAUGCUGGA
RNAcentral lists this long non-coding RNA (203 nucleotides) under Elaeis guineensis (African oil palm). RNAcentral describes it as "long non-coding RNA (EGUI_LNC003868)". Lineage: Eukaryota; Viridiplantae; Streptophyta; Magnoliopsida; Arecales; Arecaceae. The record is from RNAcentral.